Molecule: unclassified non-coding RNA, 648 nt
Filed under: uncultured Prochlorococcus sp.
Lineage: Bacteria; Bacillati; Cyanobacteriota; Cyanophyceae; Synechococcales; Prochlorococcaceae
Description: partial 16S-23S ribosomal RNA intergenic spacer; may also contain 16S ribosomal RNA and 23S ribosomal RNA
Rfam family: tRNA (bases 304-376)
Source: RNAcentral
UUGUGGAGGAGGACGCCGAAGGUGGGGCUAAUGACUGGGGUGAAGUCGUAACAAGGUAGCCGUACCGGAAGGUGCGGCUGGAUCACCUCCUAACAGGGAGACAACAAAAUGUUUAAUAUUAUUAUUUUGUCACCUUAGGUCGAUCGGUAUCUCACAUUCUUAAUUUAUUAAGGAUUUCAUUUCCUAAGUUUUUCUAGGUCACACCCAUUAUUUUCCUGGGCCAUUAGCUCAGGUGGUUAGAGCGCACCCCUGAUAAGGGUGAGGUCCCUGGUUCAAGUCCAGGAUGGCCCAUAUCUCUAUGUUGGGGGUAUAGCUCAGUUGGUAGAGCGCCUGCUUUGCAAGCAGGAUGUCAGCGGUUCGAGUCCGCUUACCUCCACUGAUUACCACCUCUUCCAUAAUCUGUAGAAAGGGAAUUUUUUGAGUCGUGACCAAAUUCUGAAAGAAUCUAGCUUCCUAAUGAAAUCAUUAAGAUGCUGGACUCAUUGAAUUAAUUUCAUUGUUUUCAGAGAACCUUGACAACUGCAUAGACUAUUUUUUUAAAGACAAUAAGCAUCUUUUAAUGAUGCAGAUUUAUUAUUUGUGCGAAUGCAUUAAUAACAAUUCUAUUAAGCUGAUGCUUCAAUUUUGAAGUUAUUGGUCAAGCUACAA